This 442-nucleotide ribosomal RNA is filed under the name uncultured bacterium. RNAcentral describes it as "partial 16S ribosomal RNA". It matches the Rfam family "Bacterial small subunit ribosomal RNA", at positions 338 to 795 of the family's 1533-position model. The record is from RNAcentral.
CCUACGGGCGGCAGCAGUGGGGAAUAUUGGGCAAUGGGCGAAAGCCUGACCCAGCAACGCCGCGUGAAGGAAGAAGGCUUUCGGGUUGUAAACUUCUUUUGACAGGGAAGAGCAGAAGACGGUACCUGUCGAAUAAGCCACGGCUAACUACGUGCCAGCAGCCGCGGUAAUACGUAGGUGGCAAGCGUUGUCCGGAUUUACUGGGUGUAAAGGGAGCGUAGACGGCGACGCAAGUCUGGAGUGAAAGCCCGGGGCCCAACCCCGGGACUGCUCUGGAAACUGCGGCGCUGGAGUACGGGAGGGGCAGGCGGAAUUCCUGGUGUAGCGGUGAAAUGCGUAGAUAUCAGGAGGAACACCGGCGGCGAAGGCGGCCUGCUGGACCGUGACUGACGUUGAGGCUCGAGAGCGUGGGGAGCAAACAGGAUUAGAUACCCCUGUAGUC